This 200-nucleotide long non-coding RNA is filed under the name Phoenix dactylifera (date palm). RNAcentral describes it as "long non-coding RNA (PDAC_LNC021364)". The record is from RNAcentral. Lineage: Eukaryota; Viridiplantae; Streptophyta; Magnoliopsida; Arecales; Arecaceae.
GUUACGGGGGAAUUUAGCCACCAUGCCCCACGUGACCGGCACGCGCGCCCAGGAAGACUACGGCAGUCCCUUGAUCCAGCAAUCCGACCCCGAGUCGGAUAUCUUCGGCUCCGCAGCCCGACCCCGAGUCGGCUGCCCCCUGAUCCAGUCAUCCGACCCCGAGUCGGCAAUCUCCCGACAACGACAGGCUGUUCCCCUGA